GACGAACGCUGGCGGCGUGCUUAACACAUGCAAGUCGAACGGAAAGGCCCUGCUUUUGUGGGGUGCUCGAGUGGCGAACGGGUGAGUAACACGUGAGUAACCUGCCCUUGACUUUGGGAUAACUUCAGGAAACCGGGGCUAAUACCGGAUAGGAGCUCCUGCUGCAUGGUGGGGGUUGGAAAGUUUCGGCGGUUGGGGAUGGACUCGCGGCUUAUCAGCUUGUUGGUGGGGUAGUGGCUUACCAAGGCUUUGACGGGUAGCCGGCCUGAGAGGGUGACCGGCCACAUUGGGACUGAGAUACGGCCCAGACUCCUACGGGAGGCAGCAGUGGGGAAUAUUGCACAAUGGGCGGAAGCUUGAUGCAGCAACGCCGCGUGCGGGAUGACGGCCUUCGGGUUGUAAACCGCUUUCGCCUGUGACGAAGCGUGAGUGACGGUAAUGGGUAAAGAAGCACCGGCUAACUACGUG
RNAcentral lists this ribosomal RNA (468 nucleotides) under uncultured bacterium. RNAcentral's name for it is "partial 16S ribosomal RNA". It matches the Rfam family "Bacterial small subunit ribosomal RNA", at positions 28 to 507 of the family's 1533-position model. The record is from RNAcentral.